Molecule: ribosomal RNA, 460 nt
Filed under: uncultured bacterium
Lineage: Bacteria
Description: partial 16S ribosomal RNA
Rfam family: Bacterial small subunit ribosomal RNA
Source: RNAcentral
CCUACGGGAGGCAGCAGUGAGGAAUAUUGGUCAAUGGCCGGAAGGCUGAACCAGCCAAGCCGCGUGAAGGACGAAGGUGCCAAGCAUUGUAAACUUCUUUUGUCAAGGGACAAAAUCAGGCUCGAGAGCCUGACCGAGGGUACUUGAAGAAAAAGCAUCGGCUAACUCCGUGCCAGCAGCCGCGGUAAUACGUAGGGUGCGAGCGUUAAUCGGAAUUACUGGGCGUAAAGGGUGUGCAGGCGGUUUUGCAAGAUGGAUGUGAAAGCCCCGGGCUUAACCUGGGAAAGCCAUACAUGACUGCAAGACUAGAGUGCGUCAGAGGGGGGUGGUAUUCCAAGUGUAGCAGUGAAAUGCGUAGAUAUUUGGAAGAACACCGAUGGCGAAGGCAGCCCCCUGGGACGCAACUGACGCUCAUACACGAAAGCGUGGGGAGCAAACAGGAUUAGAUACCCCGGUAGUC